RNAcentral lists this non-coding RNA (175 nucleotides) under Colwellia sp. Lineage: Bacteria; Pseudomonadati; Pseudomonadota; Gammaproteobacteria; Alteromonadales; Colwelliaceae. The record is from RNAcentral.
ACGGCUCAAAAUUGCUUAGGUGCUCGAUAUUUAUACGUUAUUUACGUAAAAAUGAAGAGAUAAUCGGGAAGUUAGUGAACUGCUGCAAGCAUAAUUCUAACGCUGCCCCCGCAACGGUAAUACUUUGUUAUUAACAAAGUUAAGCCCGGAGACCGGCCUAAUCAACAUAAAAUUA